GCCAAGCAGCCGCGGUAAUUCCAGCUCCAAUAGCGUAUAUUAAAGUUGUUGCGGUUAAAGAGCUCGUAGUUGGAUCUCGGCGGGCAGGGGGUGGUUCGCUCUUCAGCGCUACUGCCCCGCUUUGCCCGUGUGAUUGGCGGAGGUUUCGGGGUGCUCUUCGUUGAGUGACUCGGAGCGCCGUCAGGUUUACUUUGAAAAAAUUAGAGUGCUCAAAGCAGGCUUUUCACGCUUGAAUAUUCGUGCAUGGAAUAAUGGAAUAGGAACUCGUUUCUAUUUUGUUGGUUUUCGGAAAUCGAGUUAAUGAUUAACAGGGACAAUUGGGGGCAUUAGUAUUCAGACGACAGAGGUGAAAUUCUUGGACCGUCUGAAGACUGACUACUGCGAAAGCAUUUGCCAAGAGUGUUUUCAUUAAUCAAGAACGAAAGUUAGAGGUUCGAAGGCGAUCAGAUACCGCCCUAGUUCUAACCAUAAACGAUGCCAGCUAGCGAUCUGCCGAGUUUUUUUUGUAGGCUCCGCAGGAAGCUUUCGGGAAACCAAAGCUUUUGGGUUCCGGGGGAAGUAUGGUUGCAAAGCUGAAACUUAAAGGAAUUGACGGAAGGGCACCACCAGGAGUGGAGCCUGCGGCUUAAUUUGACUCAACACGGGAAAUCUCACCAGGCCCGGACACUGGAAGGAUUGACAGAUUGAGAGCUCUUUCUCGAUUCGGUGGGUGGUGGUGCAUGGCCGUUCUUAGUUGGUGGAGUGAUUUGUCUGGUUAAUUCCGAUAACGAACGAGACUCUGUCCUGCUAAAUAGUUGGGUCGUCCUUCGUGCGAUCCAAGUUCUUCUUAGAGGGACUGGCUGCGUCUAGCAGCACGAGAUUGAGCAAUAACAGGUCUGUGAUGCCCA
Molecule: ribosomal RNA, 887 nt
Filed under: uncultured eukaryote
Lineage: Eukaryota
Description: SSU rRNA
Rfam family: Eukaryotic small subunit ribosomal RNA
Source: RNAcentral